This 2901-nucleotide ribosomal RNA is filed under the name Triticum aestivum (bread wheat). RNAcentral's name for it is "partial small subunit ribosomal RNA". The record is from RNAcentral. Lineage: Eukaryota; Viridiplantae; Streptophyta; Magnoliopsida; Poales; Poaceae.
AUGGAAGCGGACCUCAAAGGGGUAGCCAGCAAACUUAUGACUAUGCAGGAUGUGCUGGGUCAAUGGGCGCAGAGAGAGUUUGAUUCGGUUCAGAACAGCAUUCGAUCUCUCCGAGGGAGCCUGCAUAAACUGCGCCUGCUUCCCCCAACCCCAGGAACUGUUUUAAGAAUAAAGCAGAUUGAAACAGACCUUGAUGAAUGGCUAUUACGGGAGGAGCUAAUGUGGAAGCAGAGAUCAAGGAUAAAGUGUCUGCGGGAAGGAGACAAGAACACAGACUUUUUUCACAGGAAAGCGACAUGGAGGAGAAAGAAAAACAAAAUUGAAAAACUGAAGAGAGAGGACGGGUCAUGGGCUGAUAACAGAGAGCAGAUUCAGAAAGAAAUCAAUGAUUAUUUCAAGGGGCUAUAUGAGAGGGACAACAAUGUGGAUCCUCAACCGCUAUUAGACUUGCUCCCUAACAAGGUUGAGAGCUACAUGAACGAUGCUCUGAUCAAGCCGUUUACAGAGAAGGAGGUCAGCGACGCGCUCUUCCGGAUUGGUCCACUAAAGGCGCCGGGACCGGACGGUUUCCCAGCACGGUUCUUCCAAAGGAAUUGGGCAGUUCUCAAAGAGGAAAUCAUUCAGGGUGUUCUCAGUUUCUUUGCGGAGGGUGAGAUGCCGGAAGGGGUGAACGUAACCACGAUUGUUCUGAUCCCAAAGACAAAGGAUCCACAAUGCAUCAAAGAUUACCGCCCAAUUAGCCUAUGCAAUGUCUUGUACAAAAUCAUUUCUAAGGUGUUGGUCAAUAGGCUGCGGCCUUUCCUGGAUGAUCUUAUCUCUGAGACUGAGAGCGCUUUCAUCCCAGGAAGAAUGAUCACAGAUAACGCAAUCAUUGCGUUCGAGUGUUUCCACAAGAUCCAGAACAGCAAAAACACAAGGGGUUCUCACUGCGCUUACAAGCUAGACCUUGAAAAAGCAUAUGAUCGUGUUGACUGGGAAUUCUUGGAAGGGGCUCUAAGGAAGUGGGGUUUUGACGAAAAAUGGAUCAAGUGGGUCAUGGUGUGUGUCAGAUCAGUAAAAUUUUCAGUCCGGUGCAAUGGUGAGAUGCUGGAUCUGUUUAUCCCAACUAGAGGAUUAAGACAAGGUGACCCCCUCAGCCCAUACCUAUUUUUGUUUGUGGCGGAUGGUUUAGUCUCCCUUCUGAAGAAAGAGUCGGAAUUGGGAAGCAUCACACCCAUCAAGAUUGCUCGUGGAAGCCCGGGGAUCUCAAACCUGCUGUUCGCCGAUGACAGCCUCCUUUUUUUCAAGGCAUCGGCUGAUCAGGCACAGAAAGUGAGAGAGGUGUUGGACUCUUAUCAAAGUGCUACGAGCCAACUGCUCAGUCGUGCCAAAUGCUCACUACUCCUUCCAGAAUCAAUCCCAACCCAGGUAAGAGAGAGCAUCAAGGAGACGCUGGAGGUUGAGGCAAUAUGUUUUGAGAGUAAGUACCUAGGGCUCCCUACCCCCGAAGGCAGAAUGAAGAAUGAUAAAUUCCAGCCUAUCAUAGAGAGGUUUGGAAAAAGAUGCAAUGGAUGGAAUGGAAGAUUCAUGUCACAGGCAGCCAAGGAGGUUAACGUUAAGGCUGUGGCACAAGCUCUUCCCACCUUUAUCAUGGGCGUGUUCAGACUAAACCAGAGUUUCUGUGACAAGUAUGAGAAACUUAUUAGGGACUUCUGGUGGGGGGAUAAGGAGGACAAGAGGAAAGUUCACUGGAUGUCGUGGGAGAAUAUGACAAAGCCUAAGAGAGCAGGAGGCAUAGGGUUCCGUGAUAUGCACCUCUUCAACCAAGCCUUACUGGCCAGGCAAGGGUGGAGAUUAAUCCAAAACCCGAAUAGCCUGUGUGCAAGGGUCCUCAAGUCAAAAUAUUUUCCUAACGGGAACAUACUUGAUACUGUCUUUGCUUCGGAUGUAUCUCCUGCGUGGAGAGGUAUUGAGUUUGGGCUGGAAUUACUUAAGAAGGGACUUAUUUGGCGAGUUGGAAAUGGUAGAAAGAUUCAAAUAACGAGGGACCAAUGGAUACUAAGAAAGGAAGGCUUGAAAGCGGCCUCCUUUGUGAGAAGAACAAGGCUCAGAUGGGUCAAUCAAGUCAUUGAUGAAGAGACUAAAGAAUGGAAAUAUGAGCUGGUGCAUCAGAUUUUUCAUGACUUUGAUGUGGAGGACAUCUGUAGGAUGAGAAUCCCAACAACUGAAGUAGAGGAUACUGUGGCUUGGCAUUAUGAGAAAAAUGGGAUAUUCUCGGUGAAGAGUGCAUACAAACUUGCAGAUUCUUUGAAAAGGAACACCAUAGCCGAGGCAUCCACUUCAGGGAACGAUCCAGAGGAUCGCGGAAUUUGGGAUGCUAUCUGGAAAGCGAAGAUACCAAAUAAGGUGAAAUUUUUUGGUUGGAGAGUGGCGACAAAAACCCUUGCCACUGAACAAAAUGCUUGCAGGAGAACUAUGGCCAUUGAUAGUGUGUGUGACAUAUGUGGCACGGCUCCCGAAGAUGAAUUCCAUGCUGUCAUUGCGUGUACCAGGAGCAAAGCACUUAGACAUGAAAUGAGGAGGCAUUGGGAGCUGCCAAGGGAAGGUGACAUUUGGGAUACAGGACCAGAUUGGCUACAACUCCUCCUUCUCGCAAACACUGAGGCAGUCAGAAGUAAUACACUCCUACUGCUAUGGCAGGCUUGGAACCUGAGAAACAACGUUGUCCAUGGAGACGGGAAGGAAAGGGUUGCAGGAGCGGUGCUUGCUCUAAUCAGGCUGCAAGAGGAUCUGGGAAUAGCGGAAAGUGGCCAAGGGGAUGAUAAGAACAUAAACAAACUGUCAGUCUUUCCGACGGUGCCCCAGAUUUCUGCUCACCCUACACCUGAUCACUGGGAGGCCCCCCCCUCUGGGUGUAGCUAA